GAUAAACGCUGGCGGCGUGCAUAACACAUGCAAGUCGAACGAUGAAGCUUAGUUGAUUUCUUCGGAAUGAUUUUAAGUGAAUUAGUGGCGAACGGGUGAGUAACACGUGAGUAACCUGCCUUACACAAGGGGAUAGCCUUUGGAAACGAAGAAUAAUACCCUAUAACGUCAAAAUAUCGCAUGAUAUAGUGACCAAAGAUUUAUCGGUGUAAGAUGGACUUGCGUCUGAUUAGCUAGUUGGUGAGAUAAAGCCCACCAAGGCGACGAUCAGUAGCCGGCUUGAGAGAGUGUACGGGCCACAUUGGGACUGAGACACGGCCCAAACUCCUACGGGAGGCAGCAGUGGGGAAUUUUGCACAAUGGGGGAAACCCUGAUGCAGCGACGCCGCGUGAUUUAGAAGGCCUUCGGGUUGUAAAAAUCUUUUUAUGGGAUGAAAAUGACAGUACCAUAAGAAUAAGGUCCGGCU
RNAcentral lists this ribosomal RNA (467 nucleotides) under uncultured bacterium. RNAcentral's name for it is "bacterial SSU rRNA". It matches the Rfam family "Bacterial small subunit ribosomal RNA", at positions 28 to 498 of the family's 1533-position model. The record is from RNAcentral.